This 555-nucleotide long non-coding RNA is filed under the name Mytilus galloprovincialis (Mediterranean mussel). The record is from RNAcentral. Lineage: Eukaryota; Metazoa; Mollusca; Bivalvia; Mytilida; Mytilidae.
GUCUUCUUCUUCUUUAGUUACGGAAUACCAUCAACUUUUUGAGGAUUACUUUCCGGCGCAUGCCUGUAUGAGGUCGCUUUAAGUUAAUUUCAUUUUUUUUUAUUACUUUUAUUUAUUUAUGAAAUUUACAAUUUUUUUAGUUUCAAUUUUUACAUUUUUUAUAUAUAUUUUUUUUAUAACUAUAAGAUAAAAACAAUAAGCACAUUUAGUUCAGAUGAGAGUAUGUUUUAAGGAGCACCUCAUGAGUGAGUGCAUCCUUAAAGUUGUCUGUAGUGGUUUGGUUUGAGAUAUCGGGUGGUAAUUUGUUCCAAUCUUUGAUUGUUUGGCUGAAAAAAGAAAAUUUAAAGGUGUCUUUAUUACACUGAAGUUGUCUGUAUGUCUGUUGAUGGGUAGUUCUUGUUUUAGACUGGCUUUUUAUGAGUAUAUCUUGCGAUGGUAUUGCAAUUUCAUUGUUGAUGACUUUGUGCAACAUUUGGAGUCUGGUUUUUAGUCUGCGUUCUUGUAAGGAUUGCCAUUUUAGAUGUUCUAUCAUUUCAGAUACACUGCUGGUAUUGU